RNAcentral lists this ribosomal RNA (401 nucleotides) under uncultured Flavobacterium sp. RNAcentral describes it as "bacterial SSU rRNA". It matches the Rfam family "Bacterial small subunit ribosomal RNA", at positions 9 to 409 of the family's 1533-position model. Lineage: Bacteria; Pseudomonadati; Bacteroidota; Flavobacteriia; Flavobacteriales; Flavobacteriaceae. The record is from RNAcentral.
GAGUUUGAUCAUGGCUCAGGAUGAACGCUAGCGGCAGGCCUAACACAUGCAAGUCGAGGGGUAGAGUUAGCUUGCUAACUUGAGACCGGCGCACGGGUGCGUAACGCGUAUGCAAUCUACCUUGUACAGGGGGAUAGCCCAGAGAAAUUUGGAUUAAUACCCCAUAGUGUUAUUGGAUGGCAUCAUUUGAUAACUAAAGUUCCAACGGUACAAGAUGAGCAUGCGUCCCAUUAGCUAGUUGGUGUGGUAACGCAUACCAAGGCAAUGAUGGGUAGGGGUCCUGAGAGGGAGAUCCCCCCACACUGGUACUGAGACACGGACCAGACUCCUACGGGAGGCAGCAGUGAGGAAUAUUGGUCAAUGGGCGCAAGCCUGAACCCAGCCAUGCCCGCGUGCAGGAU